RNAcentral lists this ribosomal RNA (446 nucleotides) under uncultured bacterium. RNAcentral describes it as "partial 16S ribosomal RNA". It matches the Rfam family "Bacterial small subunit ribosomal RNA", at positions 338 to 795 of the family's 1533-position model. The record is from RNAcentral.
CCUACGGGUGGCAGCAGUCGAGAAUCAUUCACAAUGGGGGAAACCCUGAUGGUGCGACGCCGCGUGGGGGAAUGAAGGUCUUCGGAUUGUAAACCCCUGUCAUGUGGGAGCAAAUUAAAAAGAUAGUACCACAAGAGGAAGAGACGGCUAACUCUGUGCCAGCAGCCGCGGUAAUACAGAGGUCUCAAGAGGUGUUCGGAAUCACUGGGCGUAAAGCGUGCGUAGGCUGUUUCGUAAGUCGUGUGUGAAAGGCGCGGGCUCAACCCGCGGACGGCACAUGAUACUGCGAGACUAGAGUAGUGGAGAGGGAACCGGAAUUCUCGGUGUAGCAGUGAAAUGCGUAGAUAUCGAGAGGAACACUCGUGGCGAAGGCGGGUUCCUGGACAUUAACUGACGCUGAGGCACGAAGGCCAGGGGAGCGAAAGGGAUUAGAUACCCCAGUAGUC